This 512-nucleotide ribosomal RNA is filed under the name uncultured bacterium. RNAcentral's name for it is "partial 16S ribosomal RNA". It matches the Rfam family "Bacterial small subunit ribosomal RNA", at positions 28 to 507 of the family's 1533-position model. The record is from RNAcentral.
GAUGAACGCUGGCGGCGUGCCUAAUACAUGCAAGUCGAACGAAACUUCUUUAUCACCGAGUGCUUGCACUCACCGAUAAAGAGUUGAGUGGCGAACGGGUGAGUAACACGUGGGCAACCUGCCCAAAAGAGGGGGAUAACACUUGGAAACAGGUGCUAAUACCGCAUAACCAUAGUUACCGCAUGGUAACUAUGUAAAAGGUGGCUAUACUACCGCUUUUGGAUGGGCCCGCGGCGCAUUAGCUAGUUGGUAGGGUAAAGGCUUACCAAGGCAAUGAUGCGUAGCCGAAUUGAGAGGUUGAUCGGCCACAUUGGGACUGAGACACGGCCCAAACUACUACGGGAGGCAGCAGUAGGGAAUCUUCCACAAUGGGCGAAAGCCUGAUGGAGCAACGCCGCGUGGGUGAAGAAGGUCUUCGGAUCGUAAAACCCUGUUGUUAGAGAAGAAAGUGCGUGAGAGUAACUGUUCACGUUUCGACGGUAUCUAACCAGAAAGCCACGGCUAACUACGUG